Long non-coding RNA from Oncorhynchus kisutch (coho salmon), 844 nucleotides. RefSeq lists it as uncharacterized. The transcript is spliced from 2 exons. NCBI's taxonomy places the organism in Eukaryota, Metazoa, Chordata, Actinopteri, Salmoniformes, Salmonidae. The record is from RefSeq and is a predicted model, not a curated record.
CAAAGGACAUCUGGCCAACUUGACACAACUGUGGGAAGCAUUGGAGGUGUUCCUAAUGUUUGGUAUGCACAGUGUACUCUAUACAUGGUCUCCUGAGUUGAAGUUUUUUGAGUAGCAGGGUCUAGGUUUGACUACCGCCUAUCUUACAAUAACAUUGUGAAGUAACUUAUCCCAUCUUUUUGCUUUUUUGUUGUUGUUAUUGAAUUUCUCACUCCACUCCGUAACUAAAUUUAGUGGACAGUUUCUAUAACUGCACAACAGAUUUCUGCAUAUUUUAAAAAUAAAAUUAAAAACAUUAUCUAUCGUCUCAUCAGCUGCUGACGACAAUCUGCAAUGGAACGUUGAACUCAGCCAUUUUACUCUCCUGUGUUUUUGUACCUGCAGGACAAGCUAAAGCCGAGCCCCCACAGUCCCAGGUCUUCUCCUGCUCACAGUGUCAAUUCUCUGACAGGCAAUGGACUACCCUCCAAGAGCAUGUCAGGAAGAACCAUCUGAAUGAGGACAGCAGGAUCCUGUGCUCUGGAGAAGCUGGAGCUGAGAACAACUCUGCCUGUCAGUGAGAAAGAGAACUCCUCAGCCAAGAAGACCAUAGUGAACAGAUUAUUGGUGAGCAAGGGGAGCUGAUAGGGGUUCGUUGCUGUUGGACUCAUCUGACAUGCCAUCGUCCUCAACUGAGGAGAGGUCAGGUUCCGAGGCCAAGUCUGAGAAGGUGAAGUCUGGUACCUGCCAAUGGAAAAUGCAACUAAGUCCAACAAAUGAAACAGCCUAAUGGUAUGUUCUUAAGACUACAAAUAAAUACAGGGAGGGUUGCAUCAUUCUUGCAAAACCUAGUCCUGGAAAAACA